Molecule: small nuclear RNA, 189 nt
Organism: Myotis myotis
Lineage: Eukaryota; Metazoa; Chordata; Mammalia; Chiroptera; Vespertilionidae
Product: U2 spliceosomal RNA
Exons: 1
Source: RefSeq, a predicted model, not a curated record
AUCGCUUCUCGGCCUUUUGGCUAAGAUCAAGUGUAGUAUCUGUUCUUAUCAGUUUAAUACUUCAUAUGAGUGGAAUCAUGCCGUAUUUUUCCUUUUUUAACGACCUGUGUCCUCCCUACUCUGGAAUUUAGACGCUUACCACCAACUAAUGGAGAAGAAAGCUUCACACCUUCAAUUUGUUAAUUAUUU